UGGGGAAUUUUGGACAAUGGGCGAAAGCCUGAUCCAGCAAUGCCGCGUGUGUGAAGAAGGCCUUCGGGUUGUAAAGCACUUUUGUCCGGAAAGAAAUCCUCUGGGUUAAUACCUCGGGGGGAUGACGGUACCGGAAGAAUAAGCACCGGCUAACUACGUGCCAGCAGCCGCGGUAAUACGUAGGGUGCAAGCGUUAAUCGGAAUUACUGGGCGUAAAGCGUGCGCAGGCGGUUUUGUAAGACGGAUGUGAAAUCCCCGGGCUUAACCUGGGAACUGCAUUCGUGACUGCAAGGCUAGAGUAUGGCAGAGGGGGGUAGAAUUCCACGUGUAGCAGUGAAAUGCGUAGAGAUGUGGAGGAAUACCGAUGGCGAAGGCAGCCCCCUGGGCCAAUACUGACGCUCAUGCACGAAAGCGUGGGGAGCAAACAGGAUUAGAUACCCUGGUAGUCCACGCCCUAAACGAUGUCAACUAGUUGUUGGGGAUUCAUUUCCUUAGUAACGUAGCUAACGCGUGAAGUUGACCGCCUGGGGAGUACGGUCGCAAGAUU
Molecule: ribosomal RNA, 547 nt
Filed under: uncultured bacterium
Lineage: Bacteria
Description: partial 16S ribosomal RNA
Rfam family: Bacterial small subunit ribosomal RNA
Source: RNAcentral